CCAAAAAACUCCUCCAUUACACCAGCGGUAGCUGAUGGAGUCCCCCGACUUGUUUAUCAAGAUGGAGGAAGAGGACCGG
Molecule: non-coding RNA, 79 nt
Organism: Callorhinus ursinus (northern fur seal)
Lineage: Eukaryota; Metazoa; Chordata; Mammalia; Carnivora; Otariidae
Source: RefSeq, a predicted model, not a curated record